CUUCUCAUUUCUGAGCUUGCCUUUAUGUUUCCAUGUGCAUAUCCAUGCUUUGUCCCACACAUCGACAGCUCCUUUCGCAUUCAUUUCCUAUACGUAUAUUGCUUUGCAGGCCAGAUGCUAGCUUCCUCCCCAUUGAAAACUACUUUACAUCACUGCUUUAUUACCCAUGAUCUAUAUAUAUAUAUUUUCUCUUUCUCUUGGUUGUUGGUUGACCCAAUUCAACAUUAAUUAGCUAUUUUCUUCUUUAUCACCUUCGGAUGAAAUUUAGAUGGGCAUUGAUUACUUUCCUCAUAUCUAUCAAGUUUCUUGUGGGAUCACUCGUGAUAUAUCGUAUAGUUUUCAACUACUUGCUUUGGCUACGAUCUAGUGGUUGAAUAGCAUUUAAUAGACAAUUCUAUUCUCAUGAAGGUUAGAAACUUUGGAUAUAGAUGUAUUAAAAAUUUAUCAAAAUCGCUAGGUGACUAUCAUCUUGCUCCGUUUUUGCAAUAUGAUAUUGAUAUGUAGCAAGCUAUGUGUUGCCAGCUACCUUGCUAUUUUCCCCAUUACUUUAACCUAUAUCAGCAAGGCACUUGGUGGUUAUUGAACCCAGUUUAAUGACUUCUUUUCUUAUCAUAACCUCAUCAGGAUAAGCUUUUCUUGAUCCAAAAGGUAAUCCAAUAUCCGCUCUAUCAAUCCCAGAACGCUUAAUUUGGGUUGGGCUCCUUGCAUGUCAUAUCCAAGAGUUGCCUUUAUUCAUUUCGUAGAAUUUGAAUAUCUUUUAGGCCCGUUAUGAAGCUUGCAGAAAAAUGGGCCAGUCCAACAUUCAGGCACUACAUCAAACAUAUAGGGGGCCAUAUGGAAAUCGCACAAAACGAAGCCAAUCUAACGUAAGAAGCUAUUUUGCUGGUCAUUGACAUUGAAAUUCAUUUAUUUAAAUUUAUUGAAACGAAAUGAAGACUUCAGCUUAGAAUUUGUAUCAGGCGUUGUAAAAGACCUGUUCAACUUUGCACUUCACUCUCACAAAGAAUCGUUCUCUCAAAGACUUAAAGAGGGUAUUUAAAAGAAAUUAUGAAAUUUAAAUAACUUGCACACGAUUAAAAUGCUUAAUAAAAAGGUAACCAAUAAGAAAUUUAUUAUUAAAAUUAUUAAAGUGAAAUAUGUUGAGCGUUUUAAAAUUAAACAAGAAUAGCACCAGAAAGUACUUGUAAUGCUUACAGACACUAAUGAAAAAGCUACGACCUCCAUUUUUUUCUUUUGGGUUAUACCGAGAAAAUAUUUUAAACAAACGAAUUAGCAUAAACUUAAUGCUUAUUACAAACGAAUUAGCUUAACUUUAAAGCAGAUUAUGAAUGAAGACAAACAUGCUCUUAUUUUCUCUACAAACCAACAUUUUUCCAUUUUGCAACCAAAUAUCUCAUCUUCUAUGGUGGAAAUAGCUCUAUAUGAUCAGCAACAAGUUGCUGUUAUAUCCAACCUUCACCAAUAUACAUUAGUAGAGACCAAAAAGCAAGUUUGCUGAUGGCUUCUGCAAAGCAUGGUGAUGUGGUUAUCCACAUAUUUCUUCCUCGGCAGAGGGCUUUCUACAACUUGGAAGAGUUCUAUGGCAAUGCAAGUCCCAUAGAACUCCCUUUGGAGAACCAACCACCAUUUCGAAGUGAAAAUGGACAUAAGAAGCCUGUAUUUAUGGCUGGAUGACUACGAGCCAAUUUCAAAUCUGCUGGUUUGAAUUUGCGUGACAUGCAUUCAAGGCCUGGCAACGUUGACAAUUUUCUUGCUAAAGAUGAGCAUUGGUUAAUGUUGAGGAAUGCCACUGGCUUGGAAUCCAUUGUUGCAUAGUUUACUCCAAAAAGUUGGUGAAUCACGUGUGUAUAUCAUGUGUAUGAGCUACACACCAUUGCUAUAAGAAAGUUUGGACAUGAUGUUCUUGCAGUUGA
RNA transcript from Manihot esculenta (cassava), 1913 nucleotides. RefSeq lists it as uncharacterized. The transcript has 2 exons. The record is from RefSeq and is a predicted model, not a curated record. Lineage: Eukaryota; Viridiplantae; Streptophyta; Magnoliopsida; Malpighiales; Euphorbiaceae.